RNAcentral lists this ribosomal RNA (253 nucleotides) under uncultured bacterium. RNAcentral's name for it is "partial 16S ribosomal RNA". It matches the Rfam family "Bacterial small subunit ribosomal RNA", at positions 524 to 776 of the family's 1533-position model. The record is from RNAcentral.
UACGGAGGGGGCUAGCGUUGUUCGGAAUUACUGGGCGUAAAGCGCGCGUAGGCGGACCUGCAAGUCGGGGGUGAAAGCCCGAGGCUUAACCUCGGAACUGCCUUCGAUACUGCGGGUCUCGAGUCCGGGAGAGGUGAGUGGAAUUCCUAGUGUAGAGGUGAAAUUCGUAGAUAUUAGGAAGAACACCAGUGGCGAAGGCGGCUCACUGGCCCGGUACUGACGCUGAGGCGCGAAAGCGUGGGGAGCAAACAGG